RNAcentral lists this unclassified non-coding RNA (7251 nucleotides) under Megachile rotundata (alfalfa leafcutting bee). RNAcentral's name for it is "sH3 domain-containing kinase-binding protein 1-like, transcript variant X7". Lineage: Eukaryota; Metazoa; Arthropoda; Insecta; Hymenoptera; Megachilidae. The record is from RNAcentral.
GUUGGGACACAGUGUUCAAAGGCUUCGAAUCGAUCCUCCACCCCCGAAGUGUCGAAAGAACAACCCUCGGCCGACGACUCUCUUGUCGACUCGAACACAACAGUUCAAAAGCACCCGAAAGCAAACAUGGCGCUGGAUUUCGCAGCCACUUACAAGGUUCUGGUGUUGGGUGAUUCGAACGUCGGGAAAACCUGCAUCGUGCACCGUUAUUGUGACGAACGUUACUACGACACUUACAUUUCAACGAUAGGUAUCGACUUCAAGCAAAAAAUAAUUAACCUGGAUGGAACACCAAUUAAGCUUCAAAUUUGGGACACUGCUGGCCAAGAACGAUUCAGAACGCUGACCACAGCUUACUACCGCGGUGCCAUGGGCAUCCUUUUGAUGUACGACGUCACCAGCCUAGAGAGCUUCAAUCAUCUAUCAUACUGGCUACGAAAUAUUCAAGAAAAUGCCUCCUCGGACGUGGUGAAAGUGUUGGCGGCAAAUAAAUGUGACGCGACUGCGCACAGGGCUGUGGACGCCGAAAGGGGAAUGAAAAUAGCCGAAAACUUCGACAUGCCUUUCUUCGAAGUGUCAUGCAAAGAAAAUAUUAACAUCGAGGAAGCGUUUCUUACUUUGGCUAGAAGAAUACGAGAACAACGAGGACGUCGGGCGAGCCUGUUCGAGGCAUCCGAGAGGGAAGGAGCAGACAGCGUAAUUAAGGCUCAGUCCCCAUCCCAGCAAGGUGACGCUUGGAGAUGCACAUGUUAGUUUCUGUAAUAACGGGGAUCGGGACACGCUUCGAGUAUCGGUAAAUACGAAGUAAUCCUUAUCUAUCGUGGCUGCGCGAGAAUAAAGGGAAGUCGUUUCUCUGUGCAAGUGUACACGGAUGCACGAAUUCGACGGGCGAACACAGUGUGAACAGGAGGUAGAACGAGCUUUAAUCCUGGAAGUAGAACAUGCGUCCACGAAUGCGUCGACGGUCGUUCGCAAUCGUUUGCCAACACAGGCGUUAUAAAUUUUCGCACCCUCUCGAACGGCUCGACGAUACGGCGAAUCCCGUCGAGAGCAACGCAAUCGUAUUAACAAGGAAGCACAAUUACAUUCUAUGCUAACGAUAAGUGUUCAUAUUCGCUGAACAGACUUUUACCUCGACAAAACUCUGUGCUCUGACGUUUUAAGCUAAUGUUUCAUUCUUAACGUUCAAAUGAUUCGAAUCGUAUAUAUUUACGUGGAUAGGUUGUCGUUGGGGUAACCGGAAGGAUGUAGGUAACGCAUUAUUAUAUGUUAGGCAUGACCAGGUGCCAUUUUGAAAGCCAUAUGGUGUACAACGGAUGGUAAUGCAGGAAGUGUAUAUUCCUAGCAAUCAUUUAUGUGUAACGCAUGAAUGAUGUUAGGUGCACUAGUCUCGUUAAAGUCAUUUAUGUGGACAACCCUAUUUUCAAAUGGUGGAUUUGGAGAUACAGGGAAUUGGAGAUUUAAGACCUUGGGCAUUCUGGAGUUAGAGGUCUGCAAGUUUGGGGAUCAGGUUAAAUUAGAAGUCUAAGAAUUUGGAGAUUUGAGGAUUUGUGAGGUGCAGGUAGGAAAUAAGGGAUUUGUGAAGAUGGAGUCAAUUUACAAAGUGGAAGAUCUAGGAAUCUAGAAAUGUGAAGAUUUUGAUGCUUUAUGAAGGGUAAUUAAAUGAGGACUAGUAAUAAAACGUGGCUGUAAAGCCACCACUUGGUCAUGCCUGUUAUAUGUGAUUAGAAUAACAAGAAAUUACUAACGUUGACACCUAAUGGUUCAUCGUUUUCUAUAGGGAAUAUACUAUAACUUCGAUCAAGCUUUGUAACAAUCGAUAACCACUGAGGCUGAUUCAUACACCGAUGCAACAACCGUUUUAUAAACAUUUUUAAUUCGACAGUGAUUUAGCAAUAACCGCGGAACAGUGUAUUCAACCGUUCCGGAAACGAUCGUGUCUCUUCUUUAUACCGCAGCUUGAUGAACAGUUGUUGGGCCACCGAACGUUCUUGAGGUUAGGUUUCUGGUUCGAGGAUUAGCAGUACAAACACUCACCGAUAGACUCGCUUAAUGUUCACGUAAGGCCUAAGACGACAGAUAUUCGUGUUUUGCUGCUUCAUCGGGCGCAAUUGCAAACGACAACACUAUUAAUCGAGGACCAUUGCUUUUCCAUUGUCAGGGGGGAUGGCGUGCGUGUUUCGAAGUCGUUUGGCGUGCAGAUGACCACGCGCGAUUCAGUUUCGAUUUGCUUGCGGCUGGUGCGCGUAAGACGAUUAAAUACCCCCUUGCCUUUGUAUCGCGUUAAUAUUCGAUGUUUGUGAAGCGGAGAGGAAUCGUCUGGGACCGGUUUGUCUGCAGGCCAAAACUAACAGAGGGGAAUCACGCGAGACGAGUUUCGAUUAGUGCGCUUUGAUAAUCACUACGGAUACACCUGGCGAAUUCGAAUGUAGUAUUAAUGAUUAAGUAACAUGUACAGGAUAAUACGAGAGUGUCGUCGUUCUUCUGGAGUAUGGCAUAUGGUUCUUGUCACGCGAGAAUUUACAUCUUGGAGGAGUUUGGCAACCAGCUAGCCUUUUAGAACUGGAGGUAACCAACCAUUUGAGUCCCUGAGGAUCUUGGAACAGCCUAGGAGUCCUAGAGACUGGAUCGUAGGAAUCUGAGGACCUUGGAACUGUACAGCCUAGGAGUCCUAGAGACUGGACCGUAGGACUCUGAGGAUCUUGAAACUGUACAGCCUAGGAGUCCUAGAGACUGCAUCGUAGGACUCUGAGGAUCUUGAAACAGCCUCGGAGUCCUAGAGACUGGACCAUAGGAAUCUGAGGAUCUUGGAACUGUAAGACCUAGGAAUUCCAGAAACCAUUGGUACCUAGAGACUAAAGGUGUUAGGAUUAGUCCUAACCCUAGGAAUCUUGGAACCAUGGGACCUAAGGAUUCUAGGAAUGUGAGGGUGUUUCCCAGAAGAUAAAUUUGAACAAAUGUGCCUAAUCUAAUCCUCUUGGAUUAUCCUAACAGCAUGAUGGGCAUUCUCCUCUCUUAAUCAAAAUAUGCCUCCAUCCUAACGUACAUUUUCCCGUAACGAGAACUAUGAAUGAGUUUGAAAGGAAUGGGCAACAGUGAUGCGACUCGAGACCAGAAUAUAAUUGUACGCGAUAGUGAAGAUAUUAACGAUAGGAUUAUAUAUAGCGCGCUCGAGCAUUAUGUACAUUUUAGGAGGACGCAUUAACUCAUUAGUAACUCAUUGUAUAGAGGCACGAUAAUUAGCGCGUACAAGCAUCGCACAAUACUUUCGUAGACGCAUAGAUAUGUAUACAGUCGUUGUCUUUAACGUAAGACCACCAUCAUCGUAUUCGUACUCCUCGUUUACGCUGGCAACAAAAUGAAGCCUUUAUUGUGCCUACCAACGAUUAGAGGGAGCAAAGAACGGGAGAAUGGCAAAGGUGGGAGCGAAAGUAGGUGAACGAACUUUCAGCUACAUUUUAACGCUUCAUUGCCACUACCUUUUACACAUAAAAAAAUUAUUAAAAUUUGUGAAGUCAUCCACUGUAACCUCUUAUGGAUAAUAACCCUUUUCAAGUUUACAAUAAGGUAUUUGAUCUGUCUUGUUGAUACAUAAAAUUAAAAUUGUUCACGUUUCUUCAAAAUUAGACUCAACAGGAGCCAAAGUUCGAUCACUUACUCAUUGCAUUUUCUAGGGUGCAAACUGACAUGCAGAUUGACCAGAAUCAAGUUGUCGUUGCUUGUAUGCGAAGGAAUUUACAGGGUGGCUCAAAAAAAAUGUUCACCAUAAGUACUGCAAAACUGAAUCUCAACACUUGAAGUGGGAGCUGGAGUUAUGAAGAUCUGAGGAUCUAGGAAUUUGAGAAUUUGGAAAUCUAAAGUUUGGAAUCUCAAGAGAACUUAUAAAAUUAGGGAUCAGGUUAAUCUGAGUUUGGGAAUUCUCCCAGAAUCACCACUAUCCCUAAGAGUCUAAUUUCCACAAAAUUGUCUUAGAGUUCUGAAAUUCCUGUAAGCUAACCUCCUGCGAAUUGCAAAAAGUUGACAGUUUCUACAGCGUACAUCUUUUUCGAAACUCCCUGUAGAUCCGAAGAAACAUAAAAAAGGAGACUGCUGUCAAGACAAUUUAAUCGCGGGUGAAAGAGCGUGCUCGGAAGAUUGUCAAGGUUAUGCCUGUCGCGAGUUUCGUUGCUCGAUUAUUUUCCGAAGACUUUGGAAAUCGAUCGAUCUCGUAGUAAAAGUCAGCGAAUCAUUUACAAUUCGUGUUCGACGCGUUUGUUUGAAUCGCAUACACGCAGCAAGCGCGAAGGUACUGCAACUGAUGGUCUCACAGUACACUGUUUGUGUAUACUACGUACACGCGUACACACACACGCACACUUAUUUGGAAGCCACGAUACGAUCAUCUUCGUUGCUUUUUAUAUAUUUAUAUAACUCGUCGCAAAUUUGUAUGAACACAAACGACUUCGACUGCUUGCUAGCGUUAACGCGUUCGUGCCCGUUCGGGUAGAUUUACCCGUGUCAGAAAGGCUGCAUCUGUUACGUCGGGAUCGAACGUGUUAAGGCAACUUAUUACACCAGUGCUUUUCACCGAAUGACUCCCUUACUUUCUCCCCGUAUCACUUUAGGUCAGUUUUCAUUGCAAAUGUUAUUAUUGGGUGCUUGUUUCAUGUGACAUCGGCUCUGUUUGCAAAGGGAAAAGAGUGGGGGUUUCACUUUGGCUUCGAAAGCAAUAUUUGGAAAGCACUGUGUUAUGCCAACUCAAUGAAAAAUUGAACAACGUUUCCCAAACUCGUUUUAUUAUGAAUGAAAUCAGGUCUUUGCAAGUGGAGAAAGUCCUAUCUCAAAAUGUACGGUGAGCUGUUCCUAUCAAUGUUGCUUCUUUGACUUAAAAGGAGGAAGCUUUAGAAAAGAUAGCACACCGUAUGGUUUGAGAUUGGAAUUAUCUGGGAAGACCUGGAUUAAAUGUUGAAACUUAAACACAUGUGCAAGCAACAUACAAAGUAUGCUGAGAUUAAUCUUGAAGAUAUGUUUGAGUAAUGACUCAUAAUUUUUAGAUAUAAGCAUAAUGAAUCUAUUUGUGGUAAGUUAUUGUUUUAAUUAUGUUAUGAUUCAUAAAAUGUGUAUUUUAUGUAAGCUGUGAUGAUGCUUAGUUGUUUGGGAAGCGUUAAAUUGAAAUUAUAGGGAACUUGAAUGUUGAUUUCUUAUUACUUAUUCACUUGAUCUCUUUUUUAAUAGUUUUUUGUAUGUUAUUCAUUUAGUUUAACUAUUUUUAGCCUUAUUUUUUUAGGAGCUUAACAACGAAUCACAGUAUUCAUGAAAAGAAUGUUCAAACUGUUGCUUCUAAGUUAAAGCAAAACUGUCUCAGAUCUUUAAUAUAAUAGACUACAGUCUUAUAAGAUCACAUCUUGAUACUAUAAUCUGUUAAGUGACUUAUGGAAUUAUUUUCCAAAGACACACAUUCCAUGCAAAUAUUUUCCAAAGAAACACAUUCCAAAGACAACUUCAAUAGUUGUAUGAUCAAAUCAAAUGAUAACAUAUUUUAGCCAUAGUUUGAAUAUUCGAUUCAACAUAGUAUUUAACAUGUUGACUGUCAUAGUGAAGUAUAAUGCAUUUAGCAGGAAUUAGUAAGUUUAUAAAUACCAAUGAUCUAAUUAUGCGAUUUAAGUUAACUUUGCAUUGUUUGGGACCUGUAGAACAGUCAACGUGUUAAGCUGAAAAUAAUAAACUGCCCAAAGUUGAACCCGUAGCUUGCGGCUAGUAGAAUUGUUUGUAUUAUUUAUGUAGAAGGGACGCUGGAUCGUUUACCCCUCCUUGGCUCUUUAUGGAAGCGUUUCGUUUCUUCCCCAAAGCUGGCCUUUGGGUGAAUAAUUUGUGGGAAACGUUUUUUAUAUCACUUGGUUGAUCCUUUAUCAUAUUUAGACGCAACGCACAUGUUUUAGGCGCUACGUCAAUGUCGCAAACUGAAGUGAAAAAAUAAUUCUCGUUUAUCGUCAAAACAAUUGCGAUCGGACGAAAGCUUAUUUCGAAAAAUCCUCUAUCCGUUACACAUCUUUUUUCUUUCCAAACGAAAAUCCAUUUUUGGUGAACGUACAGACAAACUUGCUUUCCUGUUUGCGCUAAAAAGUAUUUACAUCAAUUUCGUACAUAUACGUUACAAAACGAAAGAGCACGUUUGAAGAAAAAUAUUCUGUUCGUUCACUUUAAAUACGAUUGAACAUAUAUAUAGUCUAAAAACGGCUUUCUUUAUCGUUAACGAUAAGACUAAUUCACGUGUUUUGUUUGACCGAUACUAUCAGUCGAAAUAUAUAUACAUGUAUGUAUACGUUUAACAGUUUUUAAGUUCGUAGAGACAACUGUACAACUUGAUGUCUAAAUCGAUAAUAAAUAAAGAUGCACACUUUUUACCUACGAAUUAAUUGUUACUCUUUCCGACUGUACCUGUAUGUUAUAAUUUUAUUUACAUGACCUCGUGUUAAAUCAUAAAGUUUGUAGCUUUAUAGUCAAGUAAGAGGUGCUCAUGUAAAACAGGGGGUUUCCCUAAGAGCCAACACUUGCCCUCUUCAUACAACUUUCACGUAAACAUAACGGAACUGUCAUAAGUUAGGACACCCUAUAUAUAGGAAAUUUGUAUGCUCUACGUAUAUCUGAUACGUGAGAGUUUUAUGAUAAGAGGAAACCAAUUAUAAUGAAUCAGUCAGUUGAACGUGUCACAUAACCUUUAGAUAAACGCGAACUAAAACAAACAUCAACAUAUACUGUGUAAUAUUGAAGGUUAACUUACAACUUUCGAUAGUGAACUAUAUAGAUCAAUAGAAUUGCUCGUAAUUUAACUAAUAGUGUUCUUCAUGAACUGCCCGUACGAUCGCACAGUAGAAUUGAAAUUAGAACAGUGUUCAUUGAUAGUCCUCGCACACUUAACAAAAAUGAAUCAUGAAUUAGGUUUGGCGCGUUCUUUGAGUCAUCGAUAGGUUAUCAUGCGCACCUAACAAACAAAUUGUAUGCUGAAGUUCACUCGAGUUUAGAGCCCAAGAUGGCCGCGAUGACAGAUACGUCGAAGUAUCAAUUGAAUGUGGGAUACGCCUAAAUUUUCAGCUUUCAAUGACAUAUCUUUUAGAAACUGUAAUACAAUGAACGUGAUAAGUUCGUGCAGUGGUUUGAAAGGUGGAGGAUGUACGAGGAACAAAUGACUUCUGUAGGCGCGCAACUUGUCUUAAUUCAUACAAGGUUGUGAUAUUUAUGCGUUAACAAAUUUGAACUACUGUUAAAAUAAAA